RNAcentral lists this ribosomal RNA (297 nucleotides) under uncultured soil bacterium. Its description in RNAcentral is "partial 16S ribosomal RNA". It matches the Rfam family "Bacterial small subunit ribosomal RNA", at positions 26 to 322 of the family's 1533-position model. The record is from RNAcentral.
AGAGUGAACGCUGGCGGCAGGCCUAACACAUGCAAGUCGAACGGCAGCACAGCAGAGCUUGCUCUGUGGGUGGCGAGUGGCGGACGGGUGAGGAUAACGUCGGAAUCUGCCUAUUUGUGGGGGUAACGUAGGGAAACUUACGCUAAUACCGCAUACGACCUACGGGUGAAAGCGGAGGACCUUCGGGCUUCGCGCAGAUAGAUGAGCCGACGUCGGAUUAGCUAGUUGGCGGGGUAAAGCCACCAAGGCGACGAUCCGUAGCUGGUCUGAGAGGAUGAUCAGCCACACUGGAACUGA